This 237-nucleotide ribosomal RNA is filed under the name Klebsiella pneumoniae. RNAcentral describes it as "partial 23S ribosomal RNA". It matches the Rfam family "Bacterial large subunit ribosomal RNA", at positions 2119 to 2355 of the family's 2925-position model. Lineage: Bacteria; Pseudomonadati; Pseudomonadota; Gammaproteobacteria; Enterobacterales; Enterobacteriaceae. The record is from RNAcentral.
GAACAUUGAGCCUUGAUGUGUAGGAUAGGUGGGAGGCUUUGAAGCGUGGACGCCAGUCUGCGUGGAGCCAACCUUGAAAUACCACCCUUUAAUGUUUGAUGUUCUAACGUUGGCCCCUUACCGGGGUUGCGGACAGUGUCUGGUGGGUAGUUUGACUGGGGCGGUCUCCUCCCAAAGCGUAACGGAGGAGCACGAAGGUUAGCUAAUCCUGGUCGGACAUCAGGAGGUUAGUGCAAU